Molecule: small nuclear RNA, 157 nt
Organism: Equus asinus (donkey)
Lineage: Eukaryota; Metazoa; Chordata; Mammalia; Perissodactyla; Equidae
Gene: U1
Rfam family: U1 spliceosomal RNA
About the family: U1 is a small nuclear RNA (snRNA) component of the spliceosome (involved in pre-mRNA splicing). Its 5' end forms complementary base pairs with the 5' splice junction, thus defining the 5' donor site of an intron.
Source: Ensembl
AUCCUUUCCUGGCAGAGGAGACAACAUGAUCAUGAAGGUUGUUUUCCCAGGGCAAUGUUAUUCAUUGCAUUCCAGAUGUGUGACCUCUUUCUUUCCCCCAAAUGUGGGAAACCUGACUGCAUACUUUGUGACUUUGGGGGACUGCAUUCAUGCUUAA